Molecule: ribosomal RNA, 386 nt
Filed under: uncultured bacterium
Lineage: Bacteria
Description: bacterial SSU rRNA
Rfam family: Bacterial small subunit ribosomal RNA
Source: RNAcentral
AUUGAACGCUGGCGGCAUGCCUUACACAUGCAAGUCGAACGGCAGCACGGGAGCAAUCCUGGUGGCGAGUGGCGAACGGGUGAGUAAUAUAUCGGAACGUGCCCAGUCGUGGGGGAUAACGUAGCGAAAGCUACGCUAAUACCGCAUACGAUCUAUGGAUGAAAGCGGGGGAUCGCAAGACCUCGCGUGAUUGGAGCGGCCGAUAUCAGAUUAGGUAGUUGGUGGGGUAAAAGCCUACCAAGCCUUCGAUCUGUAGCUGGUCUGAGAGGACGACCAGCCACACUGGAACUGAGACACGGUCCAGACUCCUACGGGAGGCAGCAGUGGGGAAUUUUGGACAAUGGGCGCAAGCCUGAUCCAGCAAUGCCGCGUGCAGGAUGAAGGCC